Molecule: long non-coding RNA, 2135 nt
Organism: Strongylocentrotus purpuratus (purple sea urchin)
Lineage: Eukaryota; Metazoa; Echinodermata; Echinoidea; Camarodonta; Strongylocentrotidae
Exons: 2
Source: RefSeq, a predicted model, not a curated record
UGCAGUACAGUGCAUGCAGUUCAGCGAGCUAGAUUGUACGUGCAUAUUUUAAGCUUUAGAAUAUACGAAGAAGGUAUCUCUCGCGAUUAGAGGAUCAAGAAGUCGCCUUAUUUUCAACAUUUCUGUGAAGGUUAUUGGAAAGAAAUAAUUGUGACUAAAACAUAAGAAACAGGUGUUGUAUCACUUUUUCCUGCCAAGAUGGGCCUAACAUAAAGCACUGGUAAGUACAUCUACAUGUACUUGUUUCUUCUCAUUAAUCUUCCUUUUAAACUUAAAGUUCAUGAUACAGGGUGCUGGUGAGAUCCUACGUGUACAUGUACACUGUACAUGUAUGAUUUUUAUGACUUGUAGUGUUGUAGUUAGGAAAAGCAGGAUGCUAUUUUAGUACCUUAAAACUACAUGUACAUGUACAGUAUGUGUACCUGUACAUGUAUUCUAUGACAGUAUGUAUGAUUAAGAAAAAAUGUCUGUCAAUGUAAUGUACAGUGUUGCUUUUUGUGUGGAGAGCCUGAGUGGAGAGGUAAAAUAUGUUGUGAAUUUGUAGGCUAUUAAUUUGGAUACACUUUUAGUGUACAUUUACAUGUACAUGCACUUGUGUAGCUUUUAUACAGUUGUUUUUUGGGGUCAUUUAAGUUUUUGAUUGUUAAGAGAUUUAGAUCUUAUUAAACUGUAAUAGCAAAUUUAGCAUUGAGUUAACAUUUUUACAUUAGACGUCUAUUGAAUGAGUUGAGGUCAAUCAGCAAGAUUAGAAAAAGUGAUCAUUUCCUUUAAAAAGUUAUAGACUUUCAUAUGUAGAUAAUUUUACAAUUUAAAAAGCUGUUAAAAAACAAAUGAUUUUCAACAAACUUUGGAAGAAACAUGAUGGCAUGUAUUAAAGUGCAUUGAACUGAAGUACCCACAAGAUUAUGAUUAUAACUAUCAUAAAUGUUCACAUACUGUACUACUUCUGGUACAUGACACACAGUCACCCCAUUUGCACCGGGUCUAAAGCUCACUGGAAGGUACAUGUAAAAUUCUGAAACCAAUUUAUCCCAUAUGUUACAAGUUAGGCAUACAUGUAAAUACCCCCCAAAUAUGAGGUGCCACAUGAGUCAAGUAAUGCAAUUUGACGUGGCAUUUGAUGUCUCUUUUGAUGUCUAUUCUGCGCUCAUCUGGGUGAGAUCAGCUUUACAUAAGUUUAAUGUUACUGUCCAGAGCAAAAAAGCUUUUGUAAAUUUACAGAAGAAGGGCGUAGGACCUUUAUUGCAUUCAGCAUCUUUUUGCAUUCUCACUUGCAAUUCAUUUACUACAUGUACAUAAAAACUCCACCGUGAUUUACCAUUCCAUAUACAGUACAUGUACAACUAGUCUUUAUAAGUCAACGUUUACAUUUUGAAAAUGAAUAUGACAAUGUUUCAAAAGUUUUGUGGCACUGUAAGGGUUAAGGACCUGAAUGCUGAGAGGGAGGAGAAUAAAAUCUAUUACAUUUGAAAUGGAUGGAUGCCAAUCUGAUACAAGUUUGCAAAUUGAUCUGGGCGCUGCCUCAAAUUGAAGCCUACUUCAUGGGGAAUUCAAUUUAUAUCAGCUACCUGGAGCGUACUUGUAGCUUAUUUGCUAGAAAUGUGGGUGUAUACUGGGUGUCAAAGAAAAAAAAGAAGGAAUAAUACAGUUGUUGAUGGAUAUGAAAGGUCGUUGUAAGAUUCAUUGAAUUUCAAUUUAAUUUUUUAUGAAUACUGCAGGGAAAUCAGAAUAUUUUUCACAUUUAAAAUUUUCUGAUCAGCAUCAACUCUUGUAAAUGCAGUUGCAUGAAGCUGUUGUGAAACAAAAGUGAAAUUCACAAAAGUUUCAUGAGGCAUGUUUACACCAAGUUGUCCUUGCAUUGUACAUGUACAGUACAUGGGAUAACAAUAAUCACAUCAUCAAACCAUUUUUCUUCUUUAAGCAUGUUCGACACUCAUGAUCGUCUCUGAUAGAAAGUGGACAAAUAGUUGGUCUAGAGAUUGAGAGAGAAUGCACAUACAUGUAAUCAACAUUUUAAAGCAAUUUUGAAAAUUAUGAAUUUAGAAAUAUAUAUAAUGUACAAGCUACAUGUACAUGUAGGUAUUGAAGUACAAUGAUCAGGUAUUAAAGACAAUUACUUUUUAUGUUGAAAAUCA